AGCGGUAGCACAGGGGAGCUUGCUCCCUGGGUGACGAGCGGCGGACGGGUGAGUAAUGUCUGGGAAACUGCCUGAUGGAGGGGGAUAACUACUGGAAACGGUAGCUAAUACCGCAUAAUGUCGCAAGACCAAAGAGGGGGACCUUCGGGCCUCUUGCCAUCAGAUGUGCCCAGAUGGGAUUAGCUAGUAGGUGGGGUAAUGGCUCACCUAGGCGACGAUCCCUAGCUGGUCUGAGAGGAUGACCAGCCACACUGGAACUGAGACACGGUCCAGACUCCUACGGGAGGCAGCAGUGGGGAAUAUUGCACAAUGGGCGCAAGCCUGAUGCAGCCAUGCCGCGUGUGUGAAGAAGGCCUUCGGGUUGUAAAGCACUUUCAGCGAGGAGGAAGGUGGUGAGCUUAAUACGCUCAUCAAUUGACGUUACUCGCAGAAGAAGCACCGGCUAACUCCGUGCCAGCAGCCGCGGUAAUACGGAGGGUGCAAGCGUUAAUCGGAAUUACUGGGCGUAAAGCGCACGCAGGCGGUUUGUUAAGUCAGAUGUGAAAUCCCCGGGCUCAACCUGGGAACUGCAUUUGAAACUGGCAAGCUAGAGUCUCGUAGAGGGGGGUAGAAUUCCAGGUGUAGCGGUGAAAUGCGUAGAGAUCUGGAGGAAUACCGGUGGCGAAGGCGGCCCCCUGGACGAAGACUGACGCUCAGGUGCGAAAGCGUGGGGGAGCAAACAGGAUUAGAUACCCUGGUAGUCCACGCUGUAAACGAUGUCGAUUUGGAGGUUGUGCC
RNAcentral lists this ribosomal RNA (777 nucleotides) under Serratia marcescens. Its description in RNAcentral is "bacterial SSU rRNA". It matches the Rfam family "Bacterial small subunit ribosomal RNA", at positions 65 to 830 of the family's 1533-position model. The record is from RNAcentral. Lineage: Bacteria; Pseudomonadati; Pseudomonadota; Gammaproteobacteria; Enterobacterales; Yersiniaceae.